This 253-nucleotide ribosomal RNA is filed under the name uncultured bacterium. Its description in RNAcentral is "partial 16S ribosomal RNA". It matches the Rfam family "Bacterial small subunit ribosomal RNA", at positions 524 to 776 of the family's 1533-position model. The record is from RNAcentral.
UACGUAGGGCGCAAGCGUUAUCCGGAAUUACUGGGCGUAAAGGGCGCGUAGGCGGCGUGUCAAGUCAGGCGUGAAAGCCCCGGGCUCAACCUGGGAACCGCGCUUGAGACUGGCAUGCUCGAGUUCGGGAGAGGAUGGUGGAAUUCCCAGUGUAGAGGUGAAAUUCGUAGAUAUUGGGAAGAACACCGAUGGCGAAGGCAGCCAUCUGGACCGACACUGACGCUGAGGCGCGAAAGCGUGGGGAGCAAACAGG